RNAcentral lists this unclassified non-coding RNA (258 nucleotides) under Hevea brasiliensis (rubber tree). The record is from RNAcentral. Lineage: Eukaryota; Viridiplantae; Streptophyta; Magnoliopsida; Malpighiales; Euphorbiaceae.
AGAUACUUCGGGAGUCAAGAACUUACACCAAUCGGGUGUAUCCUCGAGCUCGGCAUGUUUGGUUAAGGGUUUUGGAUUGUAUUCUUUGCAGCAGCAGGUAGAUGAUUUUAUUUUUCUUUUUCUUUCCAAGAUUUCCAACUUCGAGACUCCCAUCUAUCUGUAUAUAUUCUUUGAUUUUCUCCUUUGUUCCAUAAGAUUUGCUUGAGUGUGAUUCUGGUUGCCGAUUCGGUUCUUGCGGGAGUCUGUUGUAAAUUGCUG